Long non-coding RNA from Homo sapiens (human), 2755 nucleotides. Ensembl annotates it as long intergenic non-protein coding RNA 1761. NCBI's taxonomy places the organism in Eukaryota, Metazoa, Chordata, Mammalia, Primates, Hominidae. The record is from Ensembl.
AAUUGUUCCAAGUCACUUACAUGGAGCUACAUUUACAGACACAAAGAGGAGCUGGACUGAUGUUUAGCUGUCUUGCACCAGCUUGUAUUUUUGGAUUAGCUAGUAUCCCAGGAAAAGGGUUUGUAUCCAAGAUAAUCCUUCCUCUGGACUGGUUUUCUUUCUGUGUUUUGACCCUCCCAGAAGCAGAAGAGUCAUCUUGCCUCUCAGUAAAAGCAGAGAAGGGGAAAUAUCUUUGAAUUGCUGGGUAGGAUAGCUUCUCUCGCUCAGCAUUUUUUCUGUUCUCCACAAGAAAACCUCUUACUGCAAAAUAUGUUUGUUGGUGGAUCACAGACUUCAAACUCACAGGACCUUAUCUCCGAUACACUGAAAGUAAAUGCAACAUAUUAAAUAGUUUAAUCAAAAUGAGGUAGAGAGGCUAUGAAGUGUCUGUAAACAUUUGGAAUCUGAUGCAAAGAAGCACGAGGACCUUCAUUUUCACUCCAGUGGUUGUGGUGACUGUGGAGAGGAAUACACAACAGAAGAAACACGCACCCACAUGAACACACACGGGCACAAAGAGAUACUACAGAAUGGGGAGCAAUAAAUUAUUGGCCUAAUUCGUGCCUGGUUCCAAAGAAAAGGGGCAGUUGGAGCCCCCCAGGCCAUCUCACCGCCUUUCCCCUGACUGGGUCCCUCCAUCUGGUAGUUGCCAGCCAAUGUUGGAGGUCUGACCCAUGCUUUUCUCUCCUUGGGAAAAGACAUGACUUGCUCCUCCUUGUCUUCUACUAUGAUUGUGAGGCCUUCUCAGCCGCUUGGAACUGUGAGUCUAAUUAAACCUUUUUCUUUUGUACAUUGCCCAGUCUCAGGUAUGUCUUUAUCUUAGAAAACAGACUCAUACAGUAAAUUGGUGCCAGUAGAGUGGGGUGUUGCUGAAAAGAUACCUGAAAAUGUGGGGGCGACUUUGGAACUGGGUAACAGGCAGAGGUUGGAACAAUUUGGAAAGCUCAGAAGAAGACAAGAAAAUUUGGGAAAGUUUGUAACUUCCUAGAGACUUGUUGAAUGACUUUGACCACAAGCCUGACAGCAAUAUGGACAAUAAGGUCUAGGCUGAAGUGGUCUCAGAUGGAGAUGAGGAAGUUGUUGGGAACUGGAGCAAAGAUAUGUGUUGUUGUUGUGUUUUAGCAAAGAGACUGGUGGCAUUUUGCCCCUGCCCUAGAAAUCUGGGAAACUUUGAACUUGAGAGAGAUGAUUUAGGGUAUCUGGUGGAAGAAAUUUCUAAGCAUCAAAACAUCUAAGGGGUGACUUGGGAUGUGUUAAUUCAGACUUGGGAUGUUAAAGGUAUUCAGUUUUAUAAAGGAAGCAGAGCAUAAAAGUUUGUAAAAUUUACAGCCUGACAAUGUGAUAGAAAAGAAAAUCCCAUUUUCUGAGGAGAAAUUCAAGUUGGCUACAGAAAUUUGCAUAAUUAAUGAGGAGCUGAAUGUUAAUCCCCAAGACAAUGGGGAAAAUGUCUCCAGGGCAUGUCAGAGGUCUUCUUGGCAGCCUCUCCCAUCACAGGUGUGGAGACCUAGGAAGAAAAUAUAGUUUCCUGGGCUGGGCCCAGGGUCUCCGUGCUGUGCACAGUCCAGGGACUUGGUGCCCUGCAUCCCAGCUGCUCCAGCCAUGACUAAAAGGGGUCAAGGUACAGCUUGGGCCAUGGCUUCAAAGGGUGUAAGCCCCAAGCUUUGACAGCCCCAACAUGAUGUCGAGCCUGAGGGUGCACAGAAGUCAAGAAUUGGGGUUUGGGAACCUCCACCUAGAUUUCAGAAGAUAUAUGGAAACGCCUGGAUGCCCAGGCAUAAGUUUGUUGCAGGGGCAGGGUGCUUGUGGAGAACCUCUGCUAGCACAGAAGGGAAAUGUGGGUCAGAGCCCCCACACACAGUGCCUACUGGGGCACUGCCUAGUGAAGCUGUGAGAAGAGGGCCACUGUCCUUCAGACCCCAGAAUGGUAGAUCCACUGACAAUUUGCACACUUCACCUGGAAAAGGUGGCUGUACUCUGCAAAGCUACAGAGAUGGAGCUGCCCAAGACCAUGGGAACCCACCUCUUGCAUCAGCAUGACCUGGAUAUGAGACAUGGAGUCAAAGGAGAUCAUUUUGGAGCUUUAAGAUUUGACUGCCCUGCUGGAGUUUGGACUUGCAUGGGGCCUGUAACUCCUUUGCUUUGGCCAAUUUCUCCCACUUGGAAUGGCUGUAUUUACCCAAUGCCUAUACCCCCUUUGUAUCUAGGAAGUAAUUAACUUGCUUUUGAUUUUACAGGUUUAUAGGUGGAAGGGACUUGCCUUGUCUCAGACAAGACUUUGGACUGUUGACUUUUCAGUUAAUAUUGAAAUAAGUUAAGCCUUUGGGGGACUACUGGGAAGGCAUGAUUGGUUCUGAAAUGUGAGGACAUGAGAUUUGGGAGGGGUCAGGGGCAGAAUGAUAUGGUUUGGCUCUAUGUCUCCACCUAAAUCUCAUCUUAAAUUGUACUCCAAUAAUUCCCACUUGUUGUGGGAAGAACCUGGUGGGAGAUAAUUGAAUCAUGGGGGCAGUUUGCCCCAUACUGUUCUCAUGGCAGUGAAUAAGUCUCAUGAGAUCUGAUGGUUUGAUAAGGGGAAACUCAUUUCACUUGGCUCUCAUUCUCUCUUUUUGCCUGUUGCCAUUCAUGUAAGAAGUGACUUGCUCCUCCUUGUCUUCCACCAUCAUUAUGAGGCUUCUGCAGCCACGUGGAACUGUGAGUCCAUUAAACCUUUUUCUUUUGU